CGCUGGUCACUGCUGCAAAGGUUAGGCCUAGGUACAGUUGUGUGCUGGUAAAUUUGUAACAAAAGGCUCUCCAGGGGAAGAAAAGCCCUGAUUUUCAGUGUUUGCCAAUUUCCACGGUAUUAAAAGUACUCACACCAAGGCCGGUUUUAAGCAGUGCUCCUGAAGUCCCUGAAGACAGAGUUGAAAAGCAUCGUGCACAGUUGACUCUUCUAAGCUAGUCCGAGCUGGCUCCAACACACUACUGCCUAUGCUACAAUUCUGCCGAAUUUCACUUUAAAGGACAUCUAUCCACUCCUGAAGCUGAGGACUCAAGUCAGUCCCAAUCAAAUGCCACCGUGGUGGGAAAAAUGGAAGAGAAGCUGUUUCUGUUACUAGAAGAAGGACAAAUAGAUGUUGGUCAGACAAAACAAAAGUCUAGUAUACCUGGAUAUGUUUUUGUCAAGUGACAGAGAAAUACAGUAAUCUUUCAUCAACAUCUCAUUUUUUGACAUGAAAUUCUACUUUACCCCAGUUUACUUUAGUUUAACCUUUCUAUGCCCUGGCAGAUUUAGGACUUGACAUAAACCUGUAUUUCCAGUCACUUAUCUUGGUGAUAAUUGGAGAGAUAAUUAAACACCAGCAUAGAAAAAUGGGGAUAAAGUGUGCUGUAGAGCAGGAACUGAACUAUUUAGGAAAAACUUAUGAAACAUAAGAAAUGCUAAACUCUACCUUAGAGAUCUUCCAACGUCAUUAAAAGCAAGUGGUGUAUCAAAAAGAUUGAUGAUGUCUGCUUUGGGGUGACUUGACCUUAGAU
RNAcentral lists this long non-coding RNA (793 nucleotides) under Homo sapiens (human). RNAcentral's name for it is "HSALNT0046690". Lineage: Eukaryota; Metazoa; Chordata; Mammalia; Primates; Hominidae. The record is from RNAcentral.